RNAcentral lists this ribosomal RNA (513 nucleotides) under uncultured bacterium. RNAcentral describes it as "partial 16S ribosomal RNA". It matches the Rfam family "Bacterial small subunit ribosomal RNA", at positions 28 to 523 of the family's 1533-position model. The record is from RNAcentral.
GACGAACGCUGGCGGCAUGCCUAAUACAUGCAAGUCGAGCGAACAGAUGAAGUGCUUGCACUUCUGACGUUAGCGGCGAACGGGUGAGUAACACGUAAGGAAUCUACCUAUAAGCGGGGGAUAACAUUCGGAAACGGGUGCUAAUACCGCAUACUAUCUUCUUCCGCAUGGAAGAAGAUUGAAAGACGGCUCUGCUGUCACUUAUAGAUGACCUUGCGGUGCAUUAGUUAGUUGGUGGGGUAACGGCCUACCAAGACGAUGAUGCAUAGCCGACCUGGGAGGGUGAUCGGCCACAUUGGGACUGAGACACGGCCCAAACUCCUACGGGAGGCAGCAGUAGGGAAUCUUCCGCAAUGGGCGAAAGCCUGACGGAGCAAUGCCGCGUGAGUGAAGAAGGCCUUCGGGUCGUAAAACUCUGUUAUAAGAGAAGAACAAAUUGUAGAGUAACUGCUACAGUCUUGACGGUAUCUUAUCAGAAAGCCACGGCUAACUACGUGCCAGCCGCCGCUGUAA